Molecule: long non-coding RNA, 254 nt
Filed under: Malus domestica (apple)
Lineage: Eukaryota; Viridiplantae; Streptophyta; Magnoliopsida; Rosales; Rosaceae
Description: long non-coding RNA (MDOM_LNC020227)
Source: RNAcentral
UCUUAGCCUUACAAUCUGAUCCUCAAGUCCCAUCUUUUUACGCUUGUGCUUGGGAUAAUUCUUAAAAUCUUUCUAAGAAUGUGGUAACUUUUUAAUUAUAGCAGCCACUUGGAAUGAUUCACUAAACUCUAUAUUUUCUGCAUGAGAACUUCAUCUUUUCUGGAUGAAUCUCAUGCAAAAUAAGUUGGAGUUCUUGGACUUGACUGAUGAAUGUUUUGGAGUCCACCAUCUUGUAGAAAACGAUCGACAAUGAA